This 7232-nucleotide long non-coding RNA is filed under the name Lactuca sativa (garden lettuce). RNAcentral's name for it is "long non-coding RNA (LSAT_LNC009994)". The record is from RNAcentral. Lineage: Eukaryota; Viridiplantae; Streptophyta; Magnoliopsida; Asterales; Asteraceae.
UGUGUUAACUAUUACCGAUUCUGAUUAUGUUCAGUGUCCUUCCCAGGAAAACCCCAUGUUUUCCUGAAAGUGUGUAUGUGUGUGUAUCUUUACCGAUUCUGGUUAUGUUCAGUGUUCUCCCAGGAAAACCCCAUGUUUUCCUGAAUGUGUGUAUAUGUGUGCCUGUCAUCCUUGAACGUACAUUAGUUUUAUUAUGUACAUAAAACUAAUAAAUACUCGUAAAGUGUUAAUAAUCCUAAUUGCGAGUCCUUAACCAUACUCAGACUAGAUAUGACUCGGACCAGGGCCAGUAUCCUUUUUAUGACUUUCGUCACCCUUGAACCUUUCGGUUCGGCUGUAGCUAGCAGCCAGGUGUGGGAUUGUCAGUCCCGUAUAGAUCUAUACACUCAAGCCACGCUCUCCUACGCUCGGAGAUUCUGGUUACAGGGUUAGUCCUCCACUAUCUCGUGCCAAGGAAGUGUUACAAGGACGUGUCUCCAAUCUUUAAGAUUACUCUUUACUUUUCGACUAGGAAAGUAGUAUCUACGACUAGCUAAGUUCUAACGUACCUGUCCUUUACACUCGAGCCUAGGUGUUUUAUUAAGGACAUUACACUCGAGCCUAGGUGUUAUCUAAUGAUGACUGUCCUUUACACUCGAUCCUAGGUGUAUUAUUAAGGACGUUACAAAUGAUAUAUGUGUUAUCUUAUGGUGAUUGUCCUUUACACUCGAUCCUAGGUGUAUUAUUAAGGACAUUACAAUUGAUUUGUGUAUUAUGAUGGUAUUUAUCUAUCACACUCGAGCCUAGGUGUAUUGUUAAGGACAUACAGAUGUUUUAUGUUUUCUGAUGGUGUCUGUCUUUUACACUCGAACCUUAGUGUUUUAUUACAGACAUUACAAUGGUUUAUGUGUUCUAUCAGUUUAAAUGUGAACAAUCAAAUAUAAGGUAUACAAUACAUCAAUGUAUAAUAAGAAUUGAAAAUCGGGUUAAAACAAAUAACUCUGCAAGUUAAAACAGUUUGUUAAAUGGUUUUCAAUUCUUAAAAAUGUACAAUUAUGAAACCAUUUAACUGAAGUCAUGUGUUUAAGUACAAGAUAUUCUUGUACUUUUGCUUGUAUUCCCCCCUGAAAACAUUGAAAAACCAUUGAAAAAGGGUAGGGGUAUGAACUCACCGGACGCAGAAAUGUGUCGAUUUCGGAUGCUAAACGUCGAAUCGAGGCCUGAUAACACGCGAGGUUCCUAUGUAACAUGAAAUGGCAUACAAAUAUAUCUAAUUAGAUUCAUAAACUCUAAUUAGAUAUGAAGUCACACUCCAACGAACGAAAACACCUCAAAACGGGUGUUUGGAGUGACCCGGGUGACAUCUACGGACUUGAAAUGAAGCGAGGGACUUGGGAUUUGAGUUUACUCCCCAAGAGUAAACUUCCUAAUGAGUUUACAACCUUAAACAACACUCACACAUGAUUUCACGGCCGUGAACUCAUGUAAGCAUGGGUAAUGGAUCUUAAAUGGCCAAUAUCACUUGGGAAGAGUUGGAACAAUUUUACCUAAGGCUUGGAAUUAAUUUAAAACAUCAAAUAACAACACUUAGGGGAGUUUACGGCCUUAGCAUGGAGCUUACGGCUGUAAACUCUCAUACCCCCAUGAAUAAGUGUUUUUAAUGUCUCAAAGUUAAUCACAUGUGAUUCUAAAAAUUCCUACAAGCCUUGAAAUGAUUUUGGGGCACAAUUUAACAUACUUUUAGGAGUUUACAGCCCAAGCACAUGCCUUGGCCGUAAACUUAUACAAAUCCCUCAAAAUUCAUGUUUAAAGUGUUCUAAGUCCAUUACCAAAUUUCUAAAAGUCAUAUCUAGGUCUAGUUUGAGUCAUAGAAGGGUUUAAGGGCUUAAAAACCCUUUAAAUAUGGGUUUACGGCCUAAGCACCUUCCUGGGCCGUAAACUCAUAUACAAGGCUCUAAAUCAUGAAUAAAUCUCGAAUUUGAAGGUCCAAUAUGAUACACAAUGAGUAUAGGAAGGUACCUUGAAGAUUUGAAGCCUUAAACUUGAGAUUUGGACCUUUAAAUCUAGUUUGAGGAGAGAGGUUGUUGGGAUAGUUGUAGAAUGAAGCAAAAGGUUCAAAAUGAAGACUUGGAUCACUUUAAAUAGUGUACAAGUUCGGGACACGGUAAAAUUUUACCCGAUACCGGCGUUAGACGGGGAUUUUGGUCGCACCCGGCCAAUUUGCCGUAACCCGAUAUGGUUGAUUCCAGAAAUGUUCUGAUCAUUAAUAUGAGGCGUUAGAAUAAGUUCUAAGGGUAUUAAGACACUCAUUAAGUCAUAAAAUAAAAUCCACAUUAAUGACUUAAUAAAAUGUCGGAAUCGGAAACGAAAUCGGAAACGGCGAUUGGAUUAUCAGAACGAGUUGCGUGAAGGGUUACAUUUAGGGAUAUGAAUUUCGCGUUGUUACAUUAUCCCCCGUUAGAGGGAAUUUCGUCCCGAAAUUCAAAGAUUCGAACACAGAUCACGAAGUGAAAAGAGAUAUGAGGAUGAAUCUACUGCUUCGGGUCUUCAAGCUCUUAAGUGGAAUGGGUUCUCCGCUUGACAUUCCAGCGAACCCUCACUGUCAGGAUGUGGCUUUGUUACACAUGGUUAACCUCUAAAUCCACGAUCUCAAUUGAUUCAUACACGAAGGUUCGGAUUUUCAUUGGUUUUGACCUCAUCAAAGGGCGACUAAGGUUUUCGUUAGGUUAGCACUUCUCACAAACAACGAUGUGGAAUACCGGAUGCUCGCUGCGGAGUUCCUGAAGAUAGCUCGGAGAGGGCUAUGGAAUUGAUUCCUAACGAGGAUCUCGAAGAGUCUAAGGUUCCACAAGUUAAGUUUUCCAUACUUCCCAAGGUGUACUAUGUCUUUCUAGGGUAAAACCUCCAACAAGUGGGUACAUUUUCACAUGGCAGAGUAACUAAGGGUCCGAUGGUUCUAAGGGAAACUUCUACAUGAGUCUACGAUUAUAGUCGGCAGAACCCAAGAAUCGACAGGUUUCCAUGGGUGUUCCCGGUGUCGACUAAUUCUUUAUUGCCUUUGCCUUUGGAAGGGUUUACGAGUAUGACUGCUUUGCUUAUCUACAUGACCAAGAAAAUGGUUCGACCGAAGGGCGCCACUAUUAACUCGUAGUGAUCGUAUCAUGCCCUGAUUGCUGCCUUGCACAUAUCGUGCUUUCUGAAGUUUGGCUACGAGAUAAUUUCAGGGAUUAGGUCGAUGUGAGACUUGACUACAUGUUCGGAAAGAAUUAUCAAGAAUUCUUUGGAAAUAGUAUCGGGGAAAGAAUCGUAGACUUCUCGUUUCUCGAUGAUUACUCGGAUGAGGGAUACAUGGGAAAACUUUUUAAGCUUUGAUGUACGAAGAUCAUGAGAGUCGGGUCGUAGGGAAGUUAAAACGAACGGCUUUCUCGAAUCUAGGAAUGACAACAUGAAUGAGGCUCGUUCAUUACAUGCUAAAGGUGACAUCAAAGCAUUUCAUAAAAAGUUUGCCAAUAGGUCGAAUGGAAAAAGAAUAAUCGCUCGGAUUGAGAAUACAAUCUACGGAUACGACACAAGCGUUCUCGUUCUCACGUGAUAACCAUCUCGAAGAUAUACAUUUUCGGUUACUUGCAAACGACGGGGUUAGAAAAUGUUCAAAUGGAUGGUUAACGAAUUUCUUUCGGUGCUAGAAUCGAAAGGAAUCACAGGCAUAUAAUUUAACAAGGAGAAAUAUACCUGUGGCAACGGUAGGAUCGGUGGCUGUCUCCUCUUGUCCUAUCGCUAGAACUCUUUCGGUUUUGCCAUGUGUAGCCUUGGGACAGUUUCGCUUAAGAUGCCCAACUUCUCCACAACCAUAGCAGGCCCGACCAAUGCCCGCUCCGGAAGUUUGACUCGUUGAUUGGGUUGGUGUCUUACAGUUUUUCGCCAUGUGACCCUUUAUGCUACAUUUGUUGCAAAUUAUCUCAAUACAUGGACCGGAAGGAAGAUGAUGAUAGUUGCACUUGCCAUAACUAGGAAGGGUUCCAGUAUACCUAUUAGCAGGUUUUCGGGUUGAGGAUCCAUCAACAGAAACAGUUGCAAGGGAAGUGACAGUGUAAAAUGCAACCGUUUGCUGUCUCUUCGAAGACUCGUGCGAUGCCUGACUUUUCUCUUUCUUCCCAAGUUUUCUUUUCUCACCACUCCUCACUGUCGGCUCAGGAGUGGUAGCUGCCUCCUCAAGGUCUUCGCUAUGAUCGAUUAGGAUCUGUGUUAAGCGUUUGGCGCUGUCGUAUGUAUCCGGCCUCGCGGCUAUGACGUUUCCUUUCGUUGGAUGGGUCAGCCCCCAGAUGAAUCUUUCUAUCUUCUUACUCUCCGGGGUAACCAUUCUCGGGCAGAGUAGUGCCAAGUCGUCGAACCUGGAAGUAUAAGCAGUGAUGUCGUAACCUUUCAUCUUCAGGUUCCAAAGUUCAUGUUCUAACUUCUGCAUUUCGCCCUGAUGGCAGUACUCAGCCAGCAGAAGUUCCUUCAUGGCUUCCCAACCCAUGGCGUUGGCUACAGGUAAGGUUAAGGAUUUGACUCGGCCAUUCCACCAAGUCAAGGCUUUGUCGAUAAAGGUGCAGGCGGCAAACUUCACCUUGUCUGAAUCUGAACAUGCACAAAUUUCAAAGAUGGAUUAGAUCUUCUCGAACCAUCGGGCGAAGGAAAUGACACCUCAGUGCCAUUAAAGGACGUGGAUUUGGCGUUCAUGGAAUCCUUAUAGGAACCCUCUUUCCGGCGUCCCUGACUGCUUUCUUGGUUUUGGGUUUGGGUAUCACCUCCCGAACCACCGGAACCGUCGGAGUUCCGUUGAGACAUGGCAGCUGCUACCGCGACUGUAACAGCUGCCUGGAAUACUACGGGGUCGAUUUGAGGAGGAGGUGGUGGUGGAGGGUUGUUGGUCUUGGAGCUGGGUCUCUUUCUUGGAGGCAUCUUGAUCUAAUAAGAUCAAGGAAGAGAGGAUGGUAAGUCCUCUGAAUUGAAUCAAGAGAUAUGACAAAUAUAUGCUAACAAGCGAUAAAGCAGGAAAGAGUUAUCAAAGUGGGAAAAUUACUGCUAAGGGAAUGAUCAAAGAAUAAUGCAUGAAUGAGGAUUUCUACCAAGGAUUGGCUCGAGAAAUACUCCCAUAGUAUUUCAUGAUUCGUUACGACGCUGGUUCGAUGUUUGUGGUAUUACGGUAAGUUUUAGGCAUGUCGCUUACCAUAGUCACUCCCAAGCACAUGUUGGCCGUGUCUCGAAUGAAUAUAGUUGGCCAAGCUAUAUUGAUCCUAGAUACGACUACAUAACUGCCCAGGUUAAACCGCAGCGUACAACACCCAUUUACUUAUGUUCUGUUCUACUUGUAGUUACGGAUCUCGACGGGUUGGUAUACUUAUAUACUUUUGAAAAUACUUAUAUUUUGAAGGAUACUUUUAGUUUAGAGCACUUAGGUUCCUUAAUGUUUAUAGUUUUAUACCAUGUAAGUUUUGGUAUACUUCAUUCACUAUAAACAAGGGCUCUGAUACCAAUCUAUCACACCCCGAAAACCGAAGGCAGAAACAUUUCCGGGGUUGACUCCACGUUGAGUAUCAAAUCCAAUGUGCAUAGUAAGUAAAGUAAAUCAACCAUUACAUUACAUAUAUGAAAGUUUUACAUUCGUUUCAAAAGCAUAAGUUAUACAAGUGAUACAUAUCAUAUAUAAACAACACGAAACGAGUCUUCUGAGAACUCCGUCUUCAAACAAGAAGAUCUUCGGGUACCUGUCUAACGUGGACCUGAGAAUACAAGCGGUUUGAAAAUCAGCAUAAAGCUGGUGAGUUCAUAAGCGGUUAGAUUUUCUGAAAAUGUACGAGUUCCUUUGGUUUCCUGAAAAAGCGUUUAUCCAAGAAAAUCCCAUAUUUUCUUAUGUAAAGUUAGUUUCCAAAUCCGAAAAGUAAAGUAAACGAUGUACAAUGAAAACAUGAUUGUUCUUGUGAAUUGUAGUUCAGUUAUUUAAUUUGUUACACAUUUCUAGUUACGUACUACGGUUACUCAGGAAAACCCCAUGUUCUCCUGACUAUGUGUGUGUGAACUAUUACCGAUUCUGAUUAUGUUCAGUGUCCUUCCCAGGAAAACCCCAUGUUUUCCUGAAAGUGUGUAUGUGUGUGUAUCUUUACCGAUUCUGGUUAUGUUCAGUGUUCUCCCAGGAAACNGUUUUCCUGAAUGUGUGUAUGUGUGUGCCUGUCAUCCUUGAACGUACAUUAGUUUUAUUACGUACAUAAAACUAAUAAAUACUCGUAAAGUGUUAAUAAUCCUGAUUGCGAGUCCUUAACCAUACUCAGACUAGAUAUGACUCGGACCAGGGCCAGUAUCCUUUUUAUGACUUUCGUCACCCUUGAACCUUUCGGUUUGGCUGUAGCUAGCAGCCAGGUGUGGGAUUGUCAGUCCCGUAUAGAUCUAUACACUCAAGCCACGCUCUCCUACGUUCGGAGAUUCUGGUUACAGGGUUAGUCCUCCACUAUCUCGUGCCAAGGAAGUGUUACAAGGACGUGUCUCCAAUCUUUAAGAUUACUCUUUACUUUUCGACUAGGAAAGUAGUAUCUACGACUAGCUAAGUUCUAACGUACCUGUCCUUUACACUCGAGCCUAGGUGUUUUAUUAAGGACAUUACACUCGAGCCUAGGUGUUAUCUAAUGAUGACUGUCCUUUACACUCGAUCCUAGGUGUAUUAUUAAGGACGUUACAAAUGAUAUAUGUGUUAUCUUAUGGUGAUUGUCCUUUACACUCGAUCCUAGGUGUAUUAUUAAGGACAUUACAAUUGAUUUGUGUAUUAUGAUGGUAUUUAUCUAUCACACUCGAGCCUAGGUGUAUUGUUAAGGACAUACAGAUGUUUUAUGUUUUUUGAUGGUGUCUGUCUUUUACACUCGAACCUUAGUGUUUUAUUAGAGACAUUACAAUGGUUUAUGUGUUCUAACAGUUUAAAUGUGAACAAUCAAAUAUAAGGUAUACAAUACAUCAAUGUAUAAUAAGAAUUGAAAAUCGGGUUAAAACAAAUAACUCUGCAAGUUAAAACAGUUUGUUAAAUGGUUUUUAAUUCUUAAAAAUGUACAAUUAUGAAACCAUUUAACUGAAGUCAUGUGUUUAAGUACAAGAUAUUCUUGUACUUUUGCUUGUAUUCCCCCCUGAAAACAUUGAAAAACCAUUGAAAAAGGGUAGGGGUAUGAACUCACCGGACGCAGAAAUGUGUCGAUUUCGGAUGCUAAAUGUCGAAUCGAGGCCUGAUA